RNAcentral lists this ribosomal RNA (480 nucleotides) under uncultured bacterium. Its description in RNAcentral is "partial 16S ribosomal RNA". It matches the Rfam family "Bacterial small subunit ribosomal RNA", at positions 28 to 523 of the family's 1533-position model. The record is from RNAcentral.
GACGAACGCUGGCGGCGUGCUUAACACAUGCAAGUCGAACGAUGAAGCCGCUUCGGUGGUGGAUUAGUGGCGAACGGGUGAGUAACACGUGGGCAAUCUGCCCUGCAUUCUGGGACAAGCCCUGGAAACGGGGUCUAAUACCGGAUAUGACACGAGGGGGCAUCAUCACGUGGGGAAAGCUCCGGCGGUGCAGGAUGAGCCCGCGGCAUAUCAGCUUGUUGGGGGGGUAAUGGCCUACCAAGGCGACGACGGGUAGCCGGCCUGAGAGGGCGACCGGCCACACUGGGACUGAGACACGGCCCAGACUCCUACGGGGGGCAGCAGUGGGGAAUAUUGCACAAUGGGCGCAAGCCUGAUGCAGCGACGCCGCGUGAGGGAUGACGGCCUUCGGGUUGUAAACCUCUUUCAGCAGGGAAGAAGCGCAAGUGACGGUACCUGCAGAAGAAGCACCGGCUAACUACGUGCCAGCAGCCGCCGUAA